RNAcentral lists this ribosomal RNA (557 nucleotides) under soil fungal sp. ANG4. RNAcentral's name for it is "eukaryotic LSU rRNA". The stretch from base 165 to 315 matches the Rfam family "5.8S ribosomal RNA". The record is from RNAcentral. Lineage: Eukaryota; Fungi.
GCUCUCUUAUGGGGGUCUCAACUUUUUAUUCUGUGCACCGUUUAAUUUGGGGGAAACCCCGCCCUGGGUUGGUUCGCUUUUUCCUUUGGGAGAUUGUUCGGCCGCCCAGAUCAAUUAUUAUACUAUUAUGACUGAACCAUAACAGAAAUUGUUAACAUAUAAACAACUUUCAGCAAUGGAUCUCUCGGCUUUCGUAUCGAUGAAGAACGCAGCAAAUCGCGAUAUGUAGUGUGAUCUGCCUAUAGUGAAUCAUCAAAUCUUUGAACGCAUCUUGCACCUCUGGGUAUUCCUGGAGGUACGCCUGUUUCAGUAUCAUUAUAACUUCUUCCCAUACUAUUUGGGUGGAAAAAUUACUACUGGCCCUUGAGGAAAGGGAGGAUUCGUCUUCCCGCCUUCACGGCUUAAAUAUGAUCUGGUUUCUUUUUAACCGGCUAGUUACCUUUUGGUAGAUUCAUCUUUCAAAAAAAACCUANUCAGCUAGAAAAGCCUCCCCUUCAUUCAAAAAACUUGAUCUGAAAUCAGGCGGGAUUACCCGCUGAACUUAAGCAUAUCAAUAA